CCUACGGGCGGCAGCAGUGGGGAAUAUUGGGCAAUGGGCGCAAGCCUGACCCAGCAACGCCGCGUGAAGGAAGAAGGCUUUCGGGUUGUAAACUUCUUUUCUCAGGGACGAAGCAAGUGACGGUACCUGAGGAAUAAGCCACGGCAAACUUCGCGCCAGCGGCCGCGGUAAUACGUAGGUGGCAAGCGUUAUCCGGAUUUACUGGGUGUAAGGGGCGUGUAGGCGGACGGUUAAGUCAGCGGUAAAAGCCCGGGGCUCAACCCCGGCGAGCCGGUGAAACUGGCUGUCUGGAGAGGUCGAGGGGUAGGCGGAAUGCGCAGUGUAGCGGUGAAAUGCUUAGAUAUUGCGCAGAACUCCGAUUGCGAAGGCAGCAUGCCGGCGGCGAUCUGACGCUGAGGCACGAAAGCGUGGGGAGCGAACAGGAUUAGAUACCCGAGUAGUC
RNAcentral lists this ribosomal RNA (442 nucleotides) under uncultured bacterium. RNAcentral's name for it is "partial 16S ribosomal RNA". It matches the Rfam family "Bacterial small subunit ribosomal RNA", at positions 338 to 795 of the family's 1533-position model. The record is from RNAcentral.